GACGAACGCUGGCGGCGUGCUUAACACAUGCAAGUCGAACGGAAAGGCCCUGCUUUUGUGGGGUGCUCGAGUGGCGAACGGGUGAGUAACACGUGAGUAACCUGCCCUUUACUUUGGUAUAACUUCAGGAAACUGGGGCUAAUACCGGAUAGGAUCUCCUGCUGCAUGGUGGGGGUUGGAAAGUUUCGGCGGUUGGGGAUGGACUCGCGGCUUAUCAGCUUGUUGGUGGGGUAGUGGCUUACCAAGGCUUUGACGGGUAGCCGGCCUGAGAGGGUGACCGGCCACAUUGGGACUGAGAUACGGCCCAGACUCCUACGGGAGGCAGCAGUGGGGAAUAUUGUACAAUGGGAGGAAGCCUGAUGCAGAAACGCCGCGUGCGGGAUGACGGCCUUCGGGUUGUAAACCGCUUUCGCCUGUGACGAAGCGUGAGUGACGGUAAUGGGUAAAGAAGCACCGGCUAACUACGUG
This 468-nucleotide ribosomal RNA is filed under the name uncultured bacterium. RNAcentral describes it as "partial 16S ribosomal RNA". It matches the Rfam family "Bacterial small subunit ribosomal RNA", at positions 28 to 507 of the family's 1533-position model. The record is from RNAcentral.